GUUUGACGUGAGGUGGACCAUUGUACUCUCUGAUCUUGUUUGAUCUCGGAAGUUAAGAUAGGUUGGGCCUGGUAAGUACUUGGAUGGGAGACCGCCUGGGAAAACUUGGUGCUGUAAGCU
This 120-nucleotide ribosomal RNA is filed under the name Scophthalmus maximus (turbot). Lineage: Eukaryota; Metazoa; Chordata; Actinopteri; Pleuronectiformes; Scophthalmidae. The record is from RNAcentral.